RNAcentral lists this ribosomal RNA (668 nucleotides) under Chaetothyriales sp. RNAcentral's name for it is "SSU rRNA". It matches the Rfam family "Eukaryotic small subunit ribosomal RNA", at positions 48 to 722 of the family's 1831-position model. Lineage: Eukaryota; Fungi; Ascomycota; Eurotiomycetes; Chaetothyriales. RNAcentral also lists the same sequence under 2 other names. The record is from RNAcentral.
GCCAUGCAUGUCUAAGUAUAAGCAACUAUACUGUGAAACUGCGAAUGGCUCAUUAAAUCAGUUAUCGUUUAUUUGAUAGUACCUUUACCUGGAUAACCGUGGUAAUUCUAGAGCUAAUACAUGCUAAAAACCUCGACUUCGGAAGGGGUGUAUUUAUUAGAUAAAAAACCAAUGCCCUUCGGGGCUCCUUGGUGAAUCAUAAUAACUUAACGAAUCGCAUGGCCUUGCGCCGGCGAUGGUUCAUUCAAAUUUCUGCCCUAUCAACUUUCGAUGGUAAGAUAGAGGCUUACCAUGGUCUUAACGGGUAACGGGGAAUUAGGGUUCUAUUCCGGAGAGGGAGCCUGAGAAACGGCUACCACAUCCAAGGAAGGCAGCAGGCGCGCAAAUUACCCAAUCCCGACACGGGGAGGUAGUGACAAUAAAUACUGAUACGGGGCUCUUUUGGGUCUCGUAAUUGGAAUGAGUACAAUCUAAAUCCCUUAACGAGGAACAAUUGGAGGGCAAGUCUGGUGCCAGCAGCCGCGGUAAUUCCAGCUCCAAUAGCGUAUAUUAAAGUUGUUGCCGUUAAAAAGCUCGUAGUUGAACCUUGGGCCUGGCUGACCUGUCCUCCUAAUCGAGCGCACGGGUUCGGUCGGGCCUUUCCUUCUAGGGAACCCCAUGCCCUUCAC